This 253-nucleotide ribosomal RNA is filed under the name uncultured bacterium. RNAcentral describes it as "partial 16S ribosomal RNA". It matches the Rfam family "Bacterial small subunit ribosomal RNA", at positions 524 to 776 of the family's 1533-position model. The record is from RNAcentral.
UACGUAGGGUGCAAGCGUUGUCCGGAAUUAUUGGGCGUAAAGAGCUCGUAGGCGGUUUGUCGCGUCUGCUGUGAAAACUCGGGGCUUAACUCCGGGCCUGGAGUGGGUACGGGCAGACUAGAGUGCGGUAGGGGAGACUGGAAUUCCUGGUGUAGCGGUGAAAUGCGCAGAUAUCAGGAGGAACACCGGUGGCGAAGGCGGGUCUCUGGGCCGUAACUGACGCUGAGGAGCGAAAGCGUGGGGAGCGAACAGG